AGGGUGUAAACGCUGCGGACUUGGUGUUGGAAGCCCUUUGGGGGCAUUCAGUGCCGGAGAGAAGUUGUUAAGUCUGCUACUUGGGGAGUACGUCCGCAAGGAUGAAACUUAAAGGAAUUGGCGGGGGAGCACCGCAACGGGAGGAGCGUGCGGUUUAAUUGGAUUCAACACCGUAAAACUCACCAGGGAAGACUGUUACAUGAAGGCCGAGAUGAAGACUCUGCUAGAUUUUCAGAGAGGAGGUGCAUGGCGUCAGUGACU
RNAcentral lists this ribosomal RNA (261 nucleotides) under uncultured archaeon. RNAcentral describes it as "partial 16S ribosomal RNA". It matches the Rfam family "Archaeal small subunit ribosomal RNA", at positions 748 to 1008 of the family's 1478-position model. The record is from RNAcentral.